RNAcentral lists this ribosomal RNA (443 nucleotides) under uncultured prokaryote. Its description in RNAcentral is "bacterial SSU rRNA". It matches the Rfam family "Bacterial small subunit ribosomal RNA", at positions 355 to 796 of the family's 1533-position model. The record is from RNAcentral.
UUGGGAAUAUUGGGCAAUGGGUGAGAGCCUGACCCAGCCAUGCCGCGUGCCGGAAGACGGCCCUCUGGGUUGUAAACGGCUUUUAUGAGGGAACACAAGGGUCCUGCGGGACAGAUUGCGUGUACCUCAUGAAUAAGCACCGGCUAACUCCGUGCCAGCAGCCGGGGGAAUACGGAGGGUGCCAGCCUUGUCCGGAUUUAUUGGGUUUAAAGGAUACGUAGGCGGAAUGCUAAGUCCGAGGUGAAAGCCCACCGCUCAACGGUGGAGGUGCCUUGGAUACUGGUAAUCUUGAGUGCCGUAGAGGUAGGCGGAAUUCAUGGUGUAGCGGUGAAAUGCAUAGAUACCAUGAGGAACACCGAUAGGGAAGCCAGCUUACUAGACGGUCACUGACGCUGAGGUACGAAAGCGUGGGGAGCGAACAGGAUUAGAUACCCGCGUAGUCC